RNAcentral lists this transfer RNA (75 nucleotides) under Bdellovibrionales bacterium. Its description in RNAcentral is "tRNA-Val". It matches the Rfam family "tRNA". From Rfam's summary of the family: Transfer RNA (tRNA) molecules are approximately 80 nucleotides in length. Their secondary structure includes four short double-helical elements and three loops (D, anti-codon, and T loops). The record is from RNAcentral. Lineage: Bacteria; Pseudomonadati; Bdellovibrionota; Bdellovibrionia; Bdellovibrionales.
AGGCGCGUAGCUCAGUGGGAGAGCACCUGCUUGACGUGCAGGGGGUCGACAGUUCAAUCCUGUCCGCGCCUACCA